CCUGCCACUAGAGGCAUUUCGGGGUGGCCGCUGUAUCACGCAUGCCACAGUAGGGGGCAGAGAGGAGAGAGGCUAUGUCUACACUCAGUGUUCUGACCUGUGAACAUCUGAAUGAUUAGUGGCCCAACAUU
Grammomys surdaster is the source of this 131-nucleotide small nucleolar RNA. RefSeq annotates it as small nucleolar RNA SNORA17. The record is from RefSeq and is a predicted model, not a curated record. Lineage: Eukaryota; Metazoa; Chordata; Mammalia; Rodentia; Muridae. The transcript has a single exon.